Molecule: ribosomal RNA, 363 nt
Filed under: uncultured bacterium
Lineage: Bacteria
Description: partial 16S ribosomal RNA
Rfam family: Bacterial small subunit ribosomal RNA
Source: RNAcentral
CCUACGGGUGGCAGCAGUGAGGAAUAUUGGUCAAUGGGCGGAAGCCUGAACCAGCGAAGCCGCGUGAGGGAAGAAGGUACUGCGUAUCGUAAACUUCUUUUGUAGGGGAAUAAAGGCAGGGACGAGUCCCUGGAUGAGGGUACCGUACGAAAAAGCAUCGGGUAACUCCGUGCCAGCAGCCGCGGUAAUACGGAGGGUGCGAGCGUUAUCCGGAUUUAGUGGGUGUAAAGGGUGCGCAGGCGGGCUGUUAAGUCAGCGGGGAAAUGCCCGGGCUCAACACCGGCGGUGCCGUUGAAACUGGCGGGCUGGAGUGUGUGAGAGGUACGCGGAAUGCGCGGUGUAGCGGUGAAAUGCUUAGAUAUC